This 492-nucleotide ribosomal RNA is filed under the name uncultured bacterium. RNAcentral describes it as "partial 16S ribosomal RNA". It matches the Rfam family "Bacterial small subunit ribosomal RNA", at positions 29 to 507 of the family's 1533-position model. The record is from RNAcentral.
AGUGAACGCUGGCGGUAGGCCUAACACAUGCAAGUCGAACGGCAGCACCGUAAGAGCUUGCUCUUACGGGUGGCGAGUGGCGGACGGGUGAGGCAUACAUCGGAAUCUACUUUUUCGUGGGGGAUAACGUAGGGAAACUUACGCUAAUACCGCAUACGACCUACGGGUGAAAGCAGAGGAUCUUCGGACCUUGCGCGAUUGAAUGAGCCGAUGUCGGAUUAGCUAGUUGGCGGGGUAAAGGCCCACCAAGGCGACGAUCCGUAGCUGGUCUGAGAGGAUGAUCAGCCACACUGGAACUGAGACACGGUCCAGACUCCUACGGGAGGCAGCAGUGGGGAAUAUUGGACAAUGGGCGCAAGCCUGAUCCAGCCAUACCGCGUGGGUGAAGAAGGCCUUCGGGUUGUAAAGCCCUUUUGUUGGGAAAGAAAAGCAGCAGGUUAAUACCCCGCUGUUCUGACGGUACCCAAAGAAUAAGCACCGGCUAACUUCGUG